Benincasa hispida (wax gourd) is the source of this 2073-nucleotide long non-coding RNA. RefSeq lists it as uncharacterized. NCBI's taxonomy places the organism in Eukaryota, Viridiplantae, Streptophyta, Magnoliopsida, Cucurbitales, Cucurbitaceae. The record is from RefSeq and is a predicted model, not a curated record.
AUGUGAAAGAGAGCAUGAGAGAGAGAAACGAUAAAAUAAUUGAGGGGGGAGAGAGUAAUGAAAACACGGUUUCCCAAGUGAGAAUGGUAGUGAUAAAAUGGUGGGUAAUUAAACUCACCGUUUUCUAUUUAUCAGUGGUUAUCAAAGUUGGGCACACGAAAGUGGUAGGUAGAGUAUGUCGUCGAAAUUACUUGUGUGAAGGUAGUCGUUGGAGUUAGUUGUUAGAGUUGUCAUCGAUGGUAGUUGGUGGAACUCAAAGUUCUUCGAAGUUCGUCAUAUGAACGUGAAAAACAGAGUUUUUUUUUUCUUUUUUUUGCCAAAGUGGUUGUUGGAAUUGGUUGUUGGAGUGUUGUUGGAGGUGGUUGUCGGAGUUGGCCACCCGAAGGUGGUCAUUGGAGUAUGUCGCCGGAGUGUGGUAGAGGUAAUCGCCAAUGGAGACCGAUGAGUGGAAGCAUUAAUAAUCAACUUAACCCCAACGUUGUCAAAUAUUGAGUUGGUAAAAAACACCAACUCAACCCAACUCUCCUCAGUGCAGCUGUUUCUUUAGACAUUAGGCUUUUUUUAUUAUUAUUAUAUUUAUAAGAGCCUCUUGGGAUUUUGUGACCUCGUUUUCGGUUUCUCUUCACUCAUGAAUGACAUUAGAGAAUUAAUUGUUUUCGGUUUAACCAGUAGGUGAAACUUGAAAGAACAUCAAGUUUCACGACUUCAUGGCAAUCGCCGCAAAAUGCAAAUUUUCUUUAUGAUCCUUAUAGGACUAAUUCCAUUAGUUUUGUUUUCUAAACAAACCGAAGGCGACGGCGAGUUUCUCGCUGCAGAGACAUAUGGACUUGAACUUUUCAUCCUCUCAUGCAAAACCAGAUUAGUAUUAGGGUCUUGCUCUUCGUGAGAGUCCUAACUGAUGCUACAUCCUUCCAUCUACCCCACGCAUAUUUGAGAGCAUAAUAUAUGGUACAACAUUUCAAGGAUCCAAUUCAAAGGGAUACCUAGCUGCCAUUUCUGCAUUCAAUGUGCUUACAUUCAUAUACUUUGUGGGCGCAAAGCCUUCCCUCUGCAUUCUUCUAAAAAGCUUGAGCGACUCUUUUCGACUGUUGGAUGCAAAUUUAUAUUUAGCAUACGCAGAGAGCAGAGCAUUCCAAAAGAAAACAUCCCUUUCAAGCAUUUUAUCAAACAGGUUUCAGGCAUCUGGAAGCUUCCCAAAUUUUGCAUACAAAUCAAGUAGCUGAUUGUGGAGAAAGGGAUCGGUGGCUUCUUAGAAUCUUGUUUUAUACGUUAUUUCUGCACAAAUGAUUCAUUUGUUUUUCUACUAUAUGGGCUGCAGAAUCUCGUGUAUGAAGAUCACGAGCCAGAUUCUAUAGUUCCUCAUUGUUGUUAUUAUUAUUAUUAUAAUACUUAAUUUCAAGUUGGUACUUAUAAUUUUAAUAUAUUUUUAUGAUUGUUGUAUUAUUUAUAAAGUAAACCAAUUGGUUCAUAUGAGCAACAUUCAUCUGUGGUAGGGUCCUAAUAGAAAACAAUUUCCUCAUGAACUUAGUUUUUUUGGGUGCUGUUGUGUUCAAUCCUGGUAACACUUUGAUGGUUGGAGCAUUAUCUUCAUUCGCUCAAGCCAUGGCUGCCACGGAUUUGUAUAGGUGACUGGAUCUUGGUGCACAGCACAAUGGAAGGGAGCAAACCACACAACAGGAAGGCAAAUAGCGGCUUACCUUGGUGACCCACGGUCGACGAUCAGAAGGUUGAUGAACGAGGACGAACAACUGAUUCCAAUGGAUGAAUGAUUGAUGAAUGAGGACAAAUGGCGCGCAGCAUACUGGCAAACGGUGGCUGACGGCGAUGGUCGAAUCUAAUGAGCGAAUGGUGGAUUGGUGAACCGUGACGGCGACGGUUGGCCGAAUCCAAGGGUGAAUGUCGACAGCGGAGGGUGUGAGAUUUUCGGAAGGAGGAAAGAGAGGGAGGAAAAAGAAAGGGGAAGUGGAAGAGUCAAUAAUUUUUCUUUUAUAAAAAGAAACAUUAAUUGGCGUGAAACCCUAAACUUGUGUAUAGAGGAGAUAAAAUCACAAUUAUAUUUAUUUGUGUGGAACC